UACGAAGGGUGCAAGCGUUAAUCGGAAUUACUGGGCGUAAAGCGUGCGUAGGUGGUUUGUUAAGUCUGCUGUGAAAGCCCUGGGCUCAACCUGGGAAUGGCGGUGGAUACUGACAAGCUAGAGUGCGGUAGAGGGGGGUGGAAUUCCCGGUGUAGCGGUGAAAUGCGUAGAGAUCGGGAGGAACAUCAGUGGCGAAGGCGGCCCUCUGGACCAGCACUGACGCUGAGGCACGAAAGCGUGGGGAGCAAACAGG
RNAcentral lists this ribosomal RNA (253 nucleotides) under uncultured bacterium. RNAcentral's name for it is "partial 16S ribosomal RNA". It matches the Rfam family "Bacterial small subunit ribosomal RNA", at positions 524 to 776 of the family's 1533-position model. The record is from RNAcentral.